This is a non-coding RNA of Microcebus murinus (gray mouse lemur), 926 nucleotides long. The record is from RefSeq and is a predicted model, not a curated record. Lineage: Eukaryota; Metazoa; Chordata; Mammalia; Primates; Cheirogaleidae.
UUUCUUUUUCUCCCCCGCGCUCUCCCCCUCUCCCUUCCCGCCGGCCCCUCAGCCUCCUCCGCGGCUGGCGAGGCCCGGCCGGAGUUUUCGGCUCCCCGCCCGGGAGCGGGAGGACGAGGAGGCGGAGGCGGAGGGAAGGUGAGGAGGCGAGCAGGGCGCCGUGCCAGGGAGCGGCAUCCAGGACCGUAACUGUGCGGAGGGGGACGCGCCGGCCGAGUGUGCCCGCGACGGGCGCGUACACGUGUCCGUGUGUGUGUGAGAGAGUGUGAGGAGAGGCGAGGAGGAGAGGAGCCUACCAUGCGCUUCCCCCGGCGCGGAUCGCGGGAGAGCCCAAUCACGGGGCGAGCUGGACCCGGCUGUGAUCAUUUAUAAUCCUUGACUCCUCCGCUCCGCCACUUGUCAAGAUGACAGGUGACCCCAGGUAACUGAAACAGCAGAAAGCGGACUGCAAACCAGGGGAACACUGUGCUUUGAAUCCAUCAGCAGCACAUGACACAGUUCUUCACUCCCUCCUCCUGUUCAGUGCUGGAAUUUCUCCACUGGGUGGAUCAAGACUCUGCGGGCAGCCAAGCUACUUAACAGUAUCAGGUCCGAAGGGCUGCAGAGGAGGAGCGAGGAUGGCAGGCAGAGAAAGACAGACAGGAACGACACCUGGACCCAUCGGACACAAGGAGGCUUCCGGAGCAGAGAUGCCACGGCCGGUCCCAGCAGAGCCGUGGCCAGCGGAAGGGGAUGUCAAGUGCCACUGAAAAGCAUGGCCGGUCUCUGCUAAUGUGUCCCCUGUAUUCAAGCUUAUAUUUUGACUAUACUCCCGAAUUUAACAGGAGCAAAAAUAAAUAAGUAAACACAAUUUAAAAGAGCCCUAGACACUGAGUCAGUACCUUUCCAGUGUCUAUUCUUUUUUUUUUUUUUUUUUUGAGACAGAG